Non-coding RNA from Mariprofundus ferrooxydans PV-1, 97 nucleotides. It matches the Rfam family "Bacterial small signal recognition particle RNA". Rfam says of the family: The signal recognition particle (SRP) is a universally conserved ribonucleoprotein involved in the co-translational targeting of proteins to membranes. Archaeal SRP consists of a 7S RNA and homologues of the eukaryotic SRP19 and SRP54 proteins. In most bacteria, the SRP consists of a 4.5S RNA and the Ffh protein (a homologue of the eukaryotic SRP54 protein). The record is from Rfam. Lineage: Bacteria; Pseudomonadati; Pseudomonadota; Candidatius Mariprofundia; Mariprofundales; Mariprofundaceae.
GGUUGAGCCCCGCACGGUGAACCCCCGUGAACCCCGUCAGGUCCGGAAGGAAGCAGCGGCAGCGGGAUGACACGCGUUGCGGUUCAGUUUGGCCCGG